AAAAUGAAGCCUGUUGCCAAAAUUCUGUGGGAAGUCCACAGCCUGCUCCAAAGAGGGUAGAGAGGAUGUUGUGACAAUGGAGAGAUGACUUGUGGUUCUGUCCAUGGUGGUUUAGUCACCAUAGCCUACACAUCAGAUGAGUGUAGAGAGGACAGUCGACAUACAAAGAAGAGCAUCACCAGGAGGGUGAUGCAAUUUAAACAAAGACCAUUGCAAGCUGAUCAUGGAGUGAUCCAGCCGAAGUAGAGGGAAGAAGAAAGCUACUCAAUAAGCCUCUGGUGUGAGAUGCUUGGAGAGUGAGCAUUGCAAGAGG
This 313-nucleotide long non-coding RNA is filed under the name Brassica napus (rape). RNAcentral describes it as "long non-coding RNA (BNAP_LNC022906)". The record is from RNAcentral. Lineage: Eukaryota; Viridiplantae; Streptophyta; Magnoliopsida; Brassicales; Brassicaceae.